GACGAACGCUGGCGGCGUGCUUAACACAUGCAAGUCGAACGAAAAUACCAAGCUUGCUUGGUUGAUUAGUGGCGAACGGGUGAGUAACACGUGAGUAACCUGCCCCUUACUUUCCUGGAUAACUGCUCGAAAGGGUAGCUAAUACGGGAUAUUCUGACCAGCCUGCAUGGGUUGGUUUGGAAAGGUUGUUUUUCUGGUAAGGGAUGGGCUCGCGGCCUCUCCGCUUGUUGGUGAGGUGAUGGCCUACCAAGGCUUUGACGGGUAGCCGGCCUGAGAGGGUGGACGGUCACACUGGGACUGAGAUACAGCCCAGACUCCUACGGGAGGCAGCAGUGGGGAAUAUUGCACAAUGGGCGCAAGCCUGAUGCAGCGACGCCGCGUGAGGGAGGAAGGCCUUCGGGUUGUAAACCUCUUUCGGCAGGGAACAAGGCACUGCUUUUUUGGUGGUGUUGAGGGUACCUGGAUAAGAAGCGCCGGCUAACUACGUG
This 488-nucleotide ribosomal RNA is filed under the name uncultured bacterium. Its description in RNAcentral is "partial 16S ribosomal RNA". It matches the Rfam family "Bacterial small subunit ribosomal RNA", at positions 28 to 507 of the family's 1533-position model. The record is from RNAcentral.